Molecule: long non-coding RNA, 484 nt
Organism: Lepidothrix coronata (blue-crowned manakin)
Lineage: Eukaryota; Metazoa; Chordata; Aves; Passeriformes; Pipridae
Exons: 3
Source: RefSeq, a predicted model, not a curated record
AGGCUAAGAAGGUACAUUCUAGAAAAAAUAUUUCUCCUAUUAAACUGAGAGAGGGCCACAAAGCCACGGUGAGACAUCCUGUCAAACUUGUGUAGCAUUUCUGUGAGCCCCUGGGAUCCUGUUUCAGAAGGUAGAAAUUGUGCAAGUACAAUUAACACUGAUGGAGAAAAAAUUAUUCAACACGUGGGGGGAAAAUAAAAUGUGAAUAGCUGAGGUAAGGCUUGAUUUAAAUUAAUAGUUUUGUAAACGCAUCUAAUCUCUGCCCAGAUUAAUUUUCAGUAUUACUUUAUUAACACAUAUUUAGGGUUUAAGUCAGAAUAAAGGUAUAUAUUUCAUAUAUGUAAACUAGAUCCAACUUCAUCUGUAUUACUCUGUGUGUUUUCAUGUUGGAAAAUCAGACAAAUAAUUCCAUGGAUCCAUUUUAUGAAUAGAAAUAUUUUCUUCACUUCCUACUAAAAACUUAUUUAUUGUUAAUAAACUUUUU